AUGUAAUUUGUUCUCAUUUCUUACCAAAAUGCCAAAGAUAACGCAGUUUGAGUACCAUAAAAUAGUAAUUUUACACCAACAAAGCACAAAAGAGCUAUUAGGGGAAAACUUGAUGUGUCUUGGCAUAGUAUGCAGCGUGUCCUUAAAAAACUCUCAGAAACUGGACAAGUGGAGGACAAAAACAAGAAGUGACAGGCUUAAAAAAACCCCAAUGAAUGGUUUCUGAAUAGUCAAGUCCAUAAGAGACAGGAAACAAAUCCAGGCAACAGGUCUUACAAUGUGACGAAUCUGAAAUGUAAAAAUCUGCACGGAGGAGGUCAGGUGGAGGUUCUGUCAUGGUUUGGAGCCAGUGGUGUUGGUGGUGUUACUGCCAGUGCAGUAAAAACAUAUAUGCAUAGAGAAACACACAGUGGAAAUUAAUGUGUCAUGGACUGACCUCACCAGAGCCCGGACGUCAACAUUAUUGAAGCAGUGUGGGAUCAUCUUGACAGAACAGAAGAAAAAGCAGGAAACAUCCAAAGACCAGCUUUGAGUGCCUGGAGAACUAUUCCUGAAGUCUACUUAAAGAAAUUACAAGAAAGCUUGCCUAAGAGAGUUCAGGCUGUGCUGAAGAAUGAAGGUGGUCACACCUUUAUAGCUAUACUGUAUUUCCGUGUAUGUUUUCACACAUUUCAAUAAGUCACUGCACCUUUUUCCCAUUUUCCUAGCAAAUACAAAGAAAUGAGGGGUGCCUCAAGACAUUUUCACAGUAGUGUAUACUGUCCUUUUUUAAUAGAUGUGAAUCUGGAGAGAAGCUGUAUAGUUAAAUGACACUGUUUUGUAGGUGGUCUUUGCAUAAAAGUUGUCCAUUUACUUUUCAUUCAAGAGAGUGUUAGAAGUAUGAUGUUGUGAUGCCAAAGAAAACCUGGAAGUGUUUUGGUUUUAGGAGUAGAGCUUGAAAUAGCUCCAGAGUUUUCCAGAGGGUCAGUUCCUCUCAUAGAUUUUUAGCCACAGAAGCACAAACAAAAUGAUGAAAGACAGCAAGUGGCAUCUACUGAGGAGCUAGUCAUUAUUACACAGCUGGUGACCAUAGAAAUGUGCACAGGUCUCUAGGUUCACCUGACUUCCUCACCCAAGCAAACCACUUGACUCCUGAGGAAAAAAAGGAAAAAAACCUAAACAAAACUGCAAUAACCUCUGGCUUCAGUCACUCCUCACGUGUUGUUUUUUCAUCCGCCAUCAGUGCAACCCCAGAAGUCAUGCAGGCAUGCUAUAAAAGGAGCAGAAGCAUGAUCUGUCAGGGUGAUUUAGAGUCAGGUUACUAGGAAGGACUCCACUAUAAUCUUCCAUACAGAGGGCGGAAUAAAGAGCCACUAUUCUAACCGAGUCCCUGACACCUGAACACACACAAGGCCAAGAGCCCCUCGGAUGCUCUUCGCUGUGGAAGGGGGAAAUUGAGAGUAAGCAUCCACCUGAGACGUCCACACAGUGGCCUUACUGUCAGGAGAGCGGGUUGGUUUGUUGGGGCCCCAAGCAUCCCGGGACCCUGCCCAUAUGUGGUGAUGUGGUGAGGUCUUCGGGGCUGGCUGGGUCUGGCUCUGCCCUAAUUGGCAGUGGAAGAUUAGGUCUGUCAGUCAGACUGACCGCAUGUCUGUCUGGCAGCCGUACAGAGAUAUGAACCAGCACGGCCGCACAGUACUGCAUUGAGAAAUUUACAAAUUCUAUUAAAUUGCAGAUGCACAUUAUAAAAAUGUGCGCAUAAAAGGGAAAUGUAUAUAAUACAUUUGCAGAUGCUGACACUCAUAAUGAAAGCAGUCCAGAAUUGUAUAAGAGCCAUGCAGUACGAGUUAUCACAUACUGGGGAAAGACUGCAGACGAAACACUUUCUGAUCCUAUCGCAGUACACUGUGUACCAGAAGGAAAAAGUACAGCCACGCAGUGGUGUUGUGAUCAGGCUGCUGUGCGUUUUUUGGGCAUAUGCACCAUCUGGUGGACAAGAAGAGAAUCCAUCAGCCCGCUAAAUCCCCAAACACUAGUGUAAGUAUUCAGUAGUUCUCGGCUGUGGGGUGGACUGGCUUUGAUGUGCUGCUGGGGCAUUAAAGGGAAUGACUGCAGGGCAGGAACGGCAGAUUAGGACCUUGAAUAUUCAAAAAAGCACGAGAGAGAGAGAGAGAAGAGGAAAGAGGAAGAAUGAAACUGCUUGUUCGCUUGCGAGUGAGAAAAAGAGACAGAGACGGAGUCAGCCAGCUGCCCCCGCAAAUGACACGUGGUGAAACAUACAUUCUGUAUUUUCGCUGAGGGUUGUUGAGAAGCCAUCUGA
Molecule: long non-coding RNA, 2299 nt
Organism: Oreochromis niloticus (Nile tilapia)
Lineage: Eukaryota; Metazoa; Chordata; Actinopteri; Cichliformes; Cichlidae
Exons: 3
Source: RefSeq, a predicted model, not a curated record